UGGGGAAUUUUGGACAAUGGGGGAAACCCUGAUCCAGCCAUCCCGCGUGUGCGAUGAAGGCCUUCGGGUUGUAAAGCACUUUUGGCAGGAAAGAAACGUCAUGGGUUAAUACCCCGUGAAACUGACGGUACCUGCAGAAUAAGCACCGGCUAACUACGUGCCAGCAGCCGCGGUAAUACGUAGGGUGCAAGCGUUAAUCGGAAUUACUGGGCGUAAAGCGUGCGCAGGCGGUUCGGAAAGAAAGAUGUGAAAUCCCAGAGCUCAACUUUGGAACUGCAUUUUUAACUACCGGGCUAGAGUUUGUCAGAGGGAGGUGGAAUUCCGCUUGUAGCAGUGAAAUGCGUAUAUAUUCGGAGGAACACCGAUGGCGAAGGCAGCCUCCUGGGAUAACACUGACGCUCAUGCACGAAAGCGUGGGGAGCAAACAGG
RNAcentral lists this ribosomal RNA (429 nucleotides) under Acidobacteriota bacterium. RNAcentral's name for it is "Acidobacteria bacterium partial 16S ribosomal RNA". It matches the Rfam family "Bacterial small subunit ribosomal RNA", at positions 355 to 776 of the family's 1533-position model. The record is from RNAcentral. Lineage: Bacteria; Pseudomonadati; Acidobacteriota.